RNAcentral lists this ribosomal RNA (495 nucleotides) under uncultured bacterium. Its description in RNAcentral is "partial 16S ribosomal RNA". It matches the Rfam family "Bacterial small subunit ribosomal RNA", at positions 28 to 507 of the family's 1533-position model. The record is from RNAcentral.
GACGAACGCUGGCGGCGUGCCUAAUACAUGCAAGUAGAACGCUGAAGGAGGAGCUUGCUUCUCUGGAUGAGUUGCGAACGGGUGAGUAACGCGUAGGUAACCUGCCUGGUAGCGGGGGAUAACUAUUGGAAACGAUAGCUAAUACCGCAUAAUAUUGACUAUUGCAUGAUAGUCAGUUGAAAGGUGCAACUGCACCACCACCAGAUGGACCUGCGUUGUAUUAGCUAGUUGGUGGGGUAACGGCUCACCAAGGCGACGAUACAUAGCCGACCUGAGAGGGUGAUCGGCCACACUGGGACUGAGACACGGCCCAGACUCCUACGGGAGGCAGCAGUAGGGAAUCUUCGGCAAUGGACGGAAGUCUGACCGAGCAACGCCGCGUGAGUGAAGAAGGUUUUCGGAUCGUAAAGCUCUGUUGUAAGAGAAGAACGAGUGUGAGAGUGGAAAGCUCACACUGUGACGGUAUCUUACCAGAAAGGGACGGCUAACUACGUG